UCGACGGCAGCACGGGAGCAAUCCUGGUGGCGAGUGGCGAACGGGUGAGUAAUGUAUCGGAACGUACCUUUCAGUGGGGGAUAACGUAGCGAAAGUUACGCUAAUACCGCAUAUUCUGUGAGCAGGAAAGCAGGGGAUCGCAAGACCUUGCGCUGAUUGAGCGGCCGAUAUCAGAUUAGCUAGUUGGUGAGGUAAAGGCUCACCAAGGCGACGAUCUGUAGCGGGUCUGAGAGGAUGAUCCGCCACACUGGAACUGAGACACGGUCCAGACUCCUACGGGAGGCAGCAGUGGGGAAUUUUGGACAAUGGGGGCAACCCUGAUCCAGCCAUGCCGCGUGAGUGAAGAAGGCCUUCGGGUUGUAAAGCUCUUUCAGCCGGGAAGAAAUCACAUGGGUUAAUACCCUGUGUGGAUGACGGUACCGGAAUAAGAAGCACCGGCUAACUACGUGCCAGCAGCCGCGGUAAUACGUAGGGUGCGAGCGUUAAUCGGAAUUACUGGGCGUAAAGCGUGCGCAGGCGGUUUGUUAAGAUAGGCGUGAAAUCCCCGGGCUCAACCUGGGAACUGCGUUUAUGACUGGCAGGCUAGAGUAUGGCAGAGGGGGGUGGAAUUCCACGUGUAGCAGUGAAAUGCGUAGAGAUGUGGAGGAAUACCGAUGGCGAAGGCAGCCCCCUGGGUUAACACUGACGCUCAUGCACGAAAGCGUGGGGAGCAAACAGGAUUAGAUACCCUGGUAGUCCACGCCCUAAACGAU
RNAcentral lists this ribosomal RNA (752 nucleotides) under uncultured bacterium. RNAcentral describes it as "bacterial SSU rRNA". It matches the Rfam family "Bacterial small subunit ribosomal RNA", at positions 62 to 810 of the family's 1533-position model. The record is from RNAcentral.